Homo sapiens (human) is the source of this 1370-nucleotide long non-coding RNA. Ensembl annotates it as long intergenic non-protein coding RNA 1069. NCBI's taxonomy places the organism in Eukaryota, Metazoa, Chordata, Mammalia, Primates, Hominidae. The record is from Ensembl.
AGUGGCAAAGAGCAACCAAAGAACUACAUAUUUAUCAGUGAUGAAAUUGGACACACUCGAUUUUCCUCCCACUGGUAAUAUUUGCAGUCAGCAUGAAUAGACUUUCUCAGUACAGUUUUCAACUCCUGGCACAACAGUAUCCUUUUUCCAAACUAUAGCAUAAAUCACAGAAAAGUAUCUCCUCAUUUGUUUGGGAUGAGUUUUAAUUCAGAAACAAUUUAUAGUAAUAUUCUAAGAGACUGACUGAAUUUGCUUUCCCAACUGAAAAAGGAAUCAACUAUUUGUUAUUAUUUAAUGAAGCUUUGAAGCAUGAGGAAGUCAAUUAUUCUUCAGUGCAGUGAUGUACAAAGGGGACUCCUGCAUUUUCCCUGUUCCCUGAAGAGAUUAAGAACUUCUGAGUGGAGACAAACGGGAAAAAAUAUUGUUUGUGGAACCUUGCCUAGGCUUGAUGAGAAGGAGGAAAGAGCUCUUACAGCUAAAACUAAUCAGUAACUGUGGUUUCUCCAAACAUGGAAGAAUUUUCCAUCAACAGUCACAAUGGGGAGUGUCUAGUUGGACCAUCAUGGAAGAUGGAUGGAUCUGGGGAGUUUGGAUGGUGUAGCUGCAAUGACAGAAGAGGACACUGUCCAUUGUGGCUUUGAACAGACAUGAUCCAUUCCCGGUGGUAGAGCCUUAUCAUUCAGUCUGGGGAGUGGACUGGAAUCCAGCUGGCAUUCAUCGUCCCCCUGUCCUGCCUUGGCAGGGGUUGCAGUACACUAGUGAUGACACAGCAGCCACAUUGAGGGGAGUAGUUCUAAUUCUACUCUCAGGGACACCCAUCUGUGGUGUAUCAUUGGUGUCUGGUGGCUUUUGGAAAUUCCAAUAUAUAGCACAGUCAUUUCUGUUUCUAAGAGGAGAGGACUUUUCAACUUAGCAAGAGUAUAAUGAAAAAGUGGGAGUUAGCAACUAUUAAAGUUUUGGUAGCUUCUAUUGGGCACCUAGAAACAAAGCCUAAAUAUGAGAAAAGAUCAAUAAGCCCUGUGGUAGAAUCACAUGAAAACCUUACUUUGGGAUAUUUUUGUGCAUUUUAAUGAUUUCUGACUUUUAAAUUUACUUUUCCAAAGCUGCCAUUCUUUCUCAGGCUCCAAACUAACACUGAGAAGCAAGAUUUAGGGGCACUGACCAUGCAUCUGAUAAGUCAUUACUUCAGGAAAUAUGUACUAAGCCCUUUUAUGUGACAGGCACUGGAGUAAGGAAAAUGGGCAAACAGCACUUGCUUCAAGGAGAGAAGAGCAACAUGUCAGAAAGCCAAACUGAAUUAAGGAGAGAAAAUUAAAUUUCUCAUUUAACAGCUGCAACAAUAACAUACAAAUAAAUUUACUGAUCAAUAA